UUAAGCGACUAAGCGUACACGGUGGAUGCCCUGGCAGUCAGAGGCGAUGAAGGACGUGCUAAUCUGCGAAAAGCGUCGGUAAGGUGAUAUGAACCGUUAUAACCGGCGAUGUCCGAAUGGGGAAACCCAGUGCAAUUCGUUGCACUAUCGUUAACUGAAUACAUAGGUUAACGAGGCGAACCGGGGGAACUGAAACAUCUAAGUACCCCGAGGAAAAGAAAUCAACCGAGAUUCCCCCAGUAGCGGCGAGCGAACGGGGAGCAGCCCAGAGUCUGAAUCAGCUUGUGUGUUAGUGGAACGGUCUGGAAAGUCCGACGGUACAGGGUGAUAGUCCCGUACACCAAAAUGCACAGGCUGUGAACUCGAAGAGUAGGGCGGGACACGUGGUAUCCUGUCUGAAUAUGGGGGGACCAUCCUCCAAGGCUAAAUACUCCUGACUGACCGAUAGUGAACCAGUACCGUGAGGGAAAGGCGAAAAGAACCCCGGCGAGGGGAGUGAAAAAGAACCUGAAACCGUGUACGUACAAGCAGUGGGAGCACCUUCGGGUGUGACUGCGUACCUUUUGUAUAAUGGGUCAGCGACUUAUAUUCUGUAGCAAGGUUAACCGUAUAGGGGAGCCGCAGGGAAACCGAGUCUUAACUGGGCGUUAAGUUGCAGGGUAUAGACCCGAAACCCGGUGAUCUAGCCAUGGGCAGGUUGAAGGUUGGGUAACACUAACUGGAGGACCGAACCGACUAAUGUUGAAAAAUUAGCGGAUGACUUGUGGCUGGGGGUGAAAGGCCAAUCAAACCGGGAGAUAGCUGGUUCUCCCCGAAAGCUAUUUAGGUAGCGCCUCGUGAAUUCAUCUUCGGGGGUAGAGCACUGUUUCGGCUAGGGGGUCAUCCCGACUUACCAACCCGAUGCAAACUACGAAUACCGAAGAAUGUUAUCACGGGAGACACACGGCGGGUGCUAACGUCCGUCGUGAAGAGGGAAACAACCCAGACCGCCAGCUAAGGUCCCAAAGUCAUGGUUAAGUGGGAAACGAUGUGGGAAGGCACAGACAGCCAGGAUGUUGGCUUAGAAGCAGCCAUCAUUUAAAGAAAGCGUAAUAGCUCACUGGUCGAGUCGGCCUGCGCGGAAGAUGUAACGGGGCUAAACCAUGCACCGAAGCUGCGGCAGCGACACUAUGUGUUGUUGGGUAGGGGAGCGUUCUGUAAGCCUGCGAAGGUGNUGCUGGAGGUAUCAGAAGUGCGAAUGCUGACAUAAGUAACGAUAAAGCGGGUGAAAAGCCCGCUCGCCGGAAGACCAAGGGUUCCUGUCCAACGUUAAUCGGGGCAGGGUGAGUCGACCCCUAAGGCGAGGCCGAAAGGCGUAGUCGAUGGGAAACAGGUUAAUAUUCCUGUACUUGGUGUUACUGCGAAGGGGGGACGGAGAAGGCUAUGUUAGCCGGGCGACGGUUGUCCCGGUUUAAGCAUGUAGGCUGAUUGUCCAGGCAAAUCCGGAUAAUCAAGGCUGAGGUGUGAUGACGAGGCACUACGGUGCUGAAGUAACAAAUGCCCUGCUUCCAGGAAAAGCCUCUAAGCAUCAGGUAACAUCAAAUCGUACCCCAAACCGACACAGGUGGUCAGGUAGAGAAUACCAAGGCGCUUGAGAGAACUCGGGUGAAGGAACUAGGCAAAAUGGUGCCGUAACUUCGGGAGAAGGCACGCUGGUGUGUAGGUGAAGUCCCUGCGGAUGGAGCUGAGACCAGUCGAAGAUACCAGCUGGCUGCAACUGUUUAUUAAAAACACAGCACUGUGCAAACACGAAAGUGGACGUAUACGGUGUGACGCCUGCCCGGUGCCGGAAGGUUAAUUGAUGGGGUUAUCCGUAAGGAGAAGCUCUUGAUCGAAGCCCCGGUAAACGGCGGCCGUAACUAUAACGGUCCUAAGGUAGCGAAAUUCCUUGUCGGGUAAGUUCCGACCUGCACGAAUGGCGUAAUGAUGGCCAGGCUGUCUCCACCCGAGACUCAGUGAAAUUGAACUCGCUGUGAAGAUGCAGUGUACCCGCGGCAAGACGGAAAGACCCCGUGAACCUUUACUAUAGCUUGACACUGAACAUUGAGCCUUGAUGUGUAGGAUAGGUGGGAGGCUUUGAAGCGUGGACGCCAGUCUGCGUGGAGCCAACCUUGAAAUACCACCCUUUAAUGUUUGAUGUUCUAACGUUGGCCCCUUACCGGGGUUGCGGACAGUGUCUGGUGGGUAGUUUGACUGGGGCGGUCUCCUCCCAAAGCGUAACGGAGGAGCACGAAGGUUAGCUAAUCCUGGUCGGACAUCAGGAGGUUAGUGCAAUGGCAUAAGCUAGCUUGACUGCGAGCGUGACGGCGCGAGCAGGUGCGAAAGCAGGUCAUAGUGAUCCGGUGGUUCUGAAUGGAAGGGCCAUCGCUCAACGGAUAAAAGGUACUCCGGGGAUAACAGGCUGAUACCGCCCAAGAGUUCAUAUCGACGGCGGUGUUUGGCACCUCGAUGUCGGCUCAUCACAUCCUGGGGCUGAAGUAGGUCCCAAGGGUAUGGCUGUUCGCCAUUUAAAGUGGUACGCGAGCUGGGUUUAGAACGUCGUGAGACAGUUCGGUCCCUAUCUGCCGUGGGCGCUGGAGAAUUGAGGGGGGCUGCUCCUAGUACGAGAGGACCGGAGUGGACGCAUCACUGGUGUUCGGGUUGUCAUGCCAAUGGCACUGCCCGGUAGCUAAAUGCGGAAGAGAUAAGUGCUGAAAGCAUCUAAGCACGAAACUUGCCCCGAGAUGAGUUCUCCCUGAGACUUUAAGUCUCCUGAAGGAACGUUGAAGACGACGACGUUGAUAGGCCGGGUGUGUAAGCGCAGCGAUGCGUUGAGCUAACCGGUACUAAUGAACCGUGAGGCUUAACCUU
Molecule: ribosomal RNA, 2889 nt
Filed under: Klebsiella pneumoniae
Lineage: Bacteria; Pseudomonadati; Pseudomonadota; Gammaproteobacteria; Enterobacterales; Enterobacteriaceae
Description: 23S ribosomal RNA
Rfam family: Bacterial large subunit ribosomal RNA
Source: RNAcentral